GUGCCAGCAGCCGCGGUAAUACGUAGGGUGCGAGCGUUAAUCGGAAUUACUGGGCGUAAAGCGUGCGUAGGUGGUUCGUUGUGUCUGUGGUGAAAUCCCCGGGCUUAACCUGGGAAUGGCCAUGGAAACUGGCGAGCUGGAGUCUGGCAGAGGGGGGUGGAAUUCCGCGUGUAGCAGUGAAAUGCGCAGAUAUCAGGAGGAACACCGGUGGCGAAGGCGGUUCUCUGGGCAUGAUCUGACGCUGAGGAGCGAAAGUGUGGGGAGCGAACAGGAUUAGAUACCCUGGUAGUCCACGCCCUAAACGAUGCGAACUGGACGUUGGGAGCAACUUGGCUCUCAGUGUCGAAGCUAACGCGUGAAGUUGACCGCCUGGGGAGUACGGCCGCAAGGUUAAAACUCAAAUGAAUUGACGG
RNAcentral lists this ribosomal RNA (413 nucleotides) under uncultured bacterium. RNAcentral's name for it is "bacterial SSU rRNA". It matches the Rfam family "Bacterial small subunit ribosomal RNA", at positions 505 to 916 of the family's 1533-position model. The record is from RNAcentral.